AGAUUUCUGGAAACCCCCGAAAUCUGGGUUAGCCCGCUUGUCCUUAAAAGCGACCAAUUGAACUCGAGACUCCUGCGUUCGACAGCGACGCGCCUAAUUGCAGUACCACAGACGCCAGUGUUUCUAUCCUCAUGUUAUUGGCUGUGCUGCUUCUACUGUUGCUGCCUCUACUUUUGCUACUGCUGCUGGAACACUAUGUUGCUACAACUGCUGCUGUUCUGGUGAUGACGACAGACAGAAAUUAGGUAACAUUUUGAGGAGAGCGUUUAUUCCUGAGCUCUAAGAGAGAUAAUGGACCAAUUGCGUUGCACAGGGGUUCCGUCAUUAUGGAUGAUGAUGGCGGGGGCCGCACGCUGUUGACCCAUCAGCCCAAUAUAUAACACAUCCAAUGCGUGGACACUUUAGUUAUUGCUGCAUGCAAAGUUUGUGUUGACUAAAACGGAAAAACACGUGAUUUUUGUUAUCGUGUGGAAGUCUGAGGUCAGUAGCCAUGUUGUCGUCCAGGAAUUCUCACCACGGAAGACGUGUCUCUCCUAAGACAUUGUGUAAACUACUCCUCGUGUUCUGUUGUGGAGUCUCCAGCGUCUUGAGCUCGCCAAGCGCCGC
Molecule: long non-coding RNA, 606 nt
Organism: Aplysia californica (California sea hare)
Lineage: Eukaryota; Metazoa; Mollusca; Gastropoda; Aplysiida; Aplysiidae
Exons: 2
Source: RefSeq, a predicted model, not a curated record